Long non-coding RNA from Brienomyrus brachyistius, 951 nucleotides. RefSeq lists it as uncharacterized. The record is from RefSeq and is a predicted model, not a curated record. The transcript has 3 exons. Lineage: Eukaryota; Metazoa; Chordata; Actinopteri; Osteoglossiformes; Mormyridae.
GGAGGAAACAGGCAGCUGUUUUUCAGACGGCAGUGCCACCCUGUCGCACGAGAGGGCGCUAGAGAGCAACGAAACACUGAAACCCAAUUACUACGCAGAAUACGCGAUCCUAAAACAAUACAUAUUGAGCACGGCCAGGCUUCCAGACGACUGGCGGGAAGACGGAAGAGGCCGGUGGCUUCAGGAAAUGGAGAAAGAUCUCUGAGAUCGACGAUGGUCCGUUGAGAGCAUUUCCCUAACGCGUGUGUAACGGCCAGCCUCCGUGUCAACAUCGGGAUUCCGUCUCCACGGCGGUAGAGGCCUGAGAUCCUGUCCUUGGAUAGACGGGCAAACAGACGGGGCAUCCGGUGCCGCUCGGAGCCAUGUGGUGCCCUAGGCAAGCAUGACCGCCGGCACCCCCUGCUGGAGACAAAGUAACAUUGGCUCACCGGAUCAGUGCCCCCCUGAGAAGACGGCGUUCUAGGCAGCCGCCUAUGUCACAUGGUACGUUGACCUGCACCUGACAUUCUGCAGACGUGCAUUUUCAGAAGUCCCCAGCAGUACACGGUAAACUGGACAAAGUACUGGGAAGCCUGGGGAGGAUGCCUGGGAUGGAGCUGAAGUGCCAGGAAUGAGCCGCAAGCAGCUCUGUGGACUGUUUGUGGCCUCAGAGUCAAGCUCAGCUAAAAGCCUGUGAUGACACCUCGUAAAAUAAACCCUCUUAGCCGAGAACUUCAACACAUUACAUGCAUUAAAAUAAACUCCUCGCCUAUAACUUUUUGGCUCCAAACUCUUUAUUCACCAGAGCUUUGACUCAGUACUCAGGUCUCGCGAUGCUGACGACGUAUUUAACGUGCCAGUGUGACCAGCCCCCAGCCCCCCCCCUCCCCCGCCACAGCCUGGCAGCUGGACGCAGCUCCGAACCCGCUGCCAAUUCCAUCACCAUCCAGAAGGGAGCAGCGGAGGACGGUG